RNAcentral lists this ribosomal RNA (442 nucleotides) under uncultured prokaryote. Its description in RNAcentral is "bacterial SSU rRNA". It matches the Rfam family "Bacterial small subunit ribosomal RNA", at positions 355 to 796 of the family's 1533-position model. The record is from RNAcentral.
UGGGGAAUUUUCCGCAAUGGGCGCAAGCCUGACCGAGCGAUGCCGCGUGCGGGAUGAAGGCCUUCGGGUUGUAAACCGCUGUCAGUUGGGAGGAAGGACUCGUGAAGAGCGAGUUUUGACCUAUCUUCAGAGGAAGUCCGGGCUAAGUUCGUGCCAGCAGCCGCGGUAACACGAACCGGACAAACGUUAUUCGGAAUUAUUGGGCUUAAAGGGUGCGUAGGCGGCCAUGUAGGUGGGGUGUGAAAUCCCUCGGCUCAACCGAGGAACUGCGCCCCAAACCACAUGGCUAGAGGGAGACAGAGGUAAGCGGAACUGAUGGUGGAGCGGUGAAAUGCGUUGAUAUCAUCAGGAACACCGGUGGCGUAAGCGGCUCACUGGGUCUCUUCUGACGCUGAGGCACGAAAGCUAGGGUAGCGAACGGGAUUAGAUACCCGUGUAGUCC